AUCCCAAGAUGAGGAUACUUACAAAGUAACUCCUUGAAUCGCUCUCAAUCCUUAUACUAAGACUCAUCAUCUAGUUGUUGGAAAGUUGUGAUCUCGUUCCUCAACUU
RNAcentral lists this small nucleolar RNA (107 nucleotides) under Gossypium arboreum. Its description in RNAcentral is "Plant small nucleolar RNA R71". It matches the Rfam family "Plant small nucleolar RNA R71". From Rfam's summary of the family: R71 is a member of the C/D box family of snoRNAs containing the C (UGAUGA) and D (CUGA) box motifs. Multiple nearly identical copies of this snoRNA have been identified in Arabidopsis, and it is thought to function as a 2'-O-ribose methylation guide for 18S ribosomal RNA. The record is from Rfam by way of RNAcentral. Lineage: Eukaryota; Viridiplantae; Streptophyta; Magnoliopsida; Malvales; Malvaceae.